GAAAACAUGGCUUUUGAACACCA
This 23-nucleotide non-coding RNA is filed under the name Cricetulus griseus (Chinese hamster). Lineage: Eukaryota; Metazoa; Chordata; Mammalia; Rodentia; Cricetidae. The record is from RNAcentral.